This 255-nucleotide ribosomal RNA is filed under the name uncultured bacterium. Its description in RNAcentral is "partial 16S ribosomal RNA". It matches the Rfam family "Bacterial small subunit ribosomal RNA", at positions 526 to 779 of the family's 1533-position model. The record is from RNAcentral.
CGUAGGGGCGAGCGUUGUCCGGAAUUAUUGGGGCGUAAAGAGCGUGUAGGCGGUUCGGUAAGUCUGCUGUGAAAUCCUGGGGCUCAACCCUGGGCGUGCAGCGGAUACUGCCGGGCUAGAGGGUGGUAGAGGCGAGUGGAAUUCCGAGUGUAGCGGUGAAAUGCGCAGAUAUUCGGAGGAACACCAGUAGCGAAGGCGGCUCGCUGGGCCACACCUGACGCUGAGACGCGAAAGCGUGGGGGAGCGAACAGGAUU